CCUCUCCUCUCUCCCCUUCUCCUCUCUCGUCUCAACGCAGGGAUCUCUCUUUGUAUUUUGAAACCCUAGAUCUGAUCUGAGUUUGCUUUUCUCUGUUGUAGCUUUUUUUUCAAUUUCUGCAGUUUCUGAUCUGGGUACUCUUUAUAUCUCGAUCUCUUCCGUUAAAAUUGUCUGUUCUCUAUGCUAAUGGGUGCCUGCCUUAUGUUCGAUUUUAUGCCGUAUGAAUUUUUUUUUUGAUAAACCAAGUUACGUACUGGUUGAUGAUUGAGUGACUGUUGCCUUUUGUUGUUUGGUACUGUAAUUUGGGAGAAUAUGUGUACACAUGCACUCCCAUAUAAAUAAUUCUAUUUGCCUGAAUAUAGAACUCAAAACCCAUACUUGAAGGGAAAAGAAAUCGGAUCCAGAUAGAAUAUGGAUAUUUACAUGAAGAUAGGAAGUUAAUUUAUUCUUUUGUAAGUAUAAAAGAUUUGAGUCAUGAAGAUUUGGAUUCAACAGAUGAGUUCUAGUUGUUAAAAAUGGUAAAUGAUGAAAGGGAUUCAAGGAUCCAACUUAAACGUACAAGGGAAGAAUUUGAGAGGAGAGAGGAUGAUGACAUUAUUAUGGUAGUGGUCAGUUUUAUAGUUGCUGCCAUUGGUGCUUGGUACUAUACAAAGCACAUGUUGAAGGAGAGUUCAAGAACACACGAAGAAGAGGAUGAAAGGACAUACCUUAGAAAGUCUUGGAUUCGAAAUCUUAUUUGCAAUGCAAAUAACUGUGUUGAACAACUAAGGAUGAAUCCUCAAGCGUUUAAGAGGUUAUGUGAUGUUCUAUGUACUAGAGGGGGAUUAGUAGCAUCAAGAAAUGUCACGAUUGAAGAAAUUGUCGCUAUGUUUUUGCAUAUUUUAGCUCAUAAUGUAAAAAAUAGGACAAGCAA
Molecule: long non-coding RNA, 913 nt
Organism: Asparagus officinalis (garden asparagus)
Lineage: Eukaryota; Viridiplantae; Streptophyta; Magnoliopsida; Asparagales; Asparagaceae
Exons: 2
Source: RefSeq, a predicted model, not a curated record